GACGAACGCUGGCGGCAUGCCUAAUACAUGCAAGUCGAGCGGAGUUGAUGAGAAGCUUGCUUCUCUGAUGCUUAGCGGCGGACGGGUGAGUAACACGUAGGCGACCUGCCCUCAAGCUUGGGACAACUACCGGAAACGGUAGCUAAUACCGAAUACUUGUUUUCUUCGCCUGAAGGAAACUGGAAAGACGGAGCAAUCUGUCACUUGGGGAUGGGCCUGCGGCGCAUUAGCUAGUUGGUGAGGGAACGGCUCACCAAGGCGACUAUGCGUAGCCGACCUGAGAGGGUGAUCGGCCACACUGGGACUGAGACACGGCCCAGACUCCUACGGGAGGCAGCAGUAGGGAAUCUUCCGCAAUGGGCGAAAGCCUGACGGAGCAGUGCCGCGUGAGUGAUGAAGGUUUUCGGAUCGUAAAGCUCUGUUGCCAGGGAAGAACGCUUGGGAGAGUAACUGCUCCCAAGGUGACGGUACCUGAGAAGAAAGCCCCGGCUAACUACGUGCCAGCCGCCGCGGUAA
Molecule: ribosomal RNA, 516 nt
Filed under: uncultured bacterium
Lineage: Bacteria
Description: partial 16S ribosomal RNA
Rfam family: Bacterial small subunit ribosomal RNA
Source: RNAcentral